GACGCGGCGCCGCGUCCUGCGGGGGGCGGAGCCGGGGGCCGCCACGCGCGCUUUUCGCGGCAAAAUUCAAAGGUCGGCAGGGCGGCUCUCCAACCUCCUCCCCCAAGAAGGGACGAGGCGGAACCUGCCACGCGAGGACUGCAACUCCCGGCAUGCUGAGCGCCGGCGCCGGGCGGAGGGGCCCCUACCGGAGGCGCAGGGCAUGCUGGUAUUUGUAGUCCCUUUGCCGAGGAAGUAGGGAUGGCAAAACCAGUGUCAUUUAUUGAUAACAUACUUGGGACAAGGCACUGUAUAAGUGCACUAUCGGCCUUAUUUUAUUUAAUCUUGGCAACAACCAACCCUAUGAGGAAUUUGUUAAAAAUAAUAACCAAUAACAACGGUAGCUACUAUGUAGCAAAGUACUUUACCUAAUCCUCACAACAACAGUGUGAGUGGGUAUUAUCACCCCCAUUUUACAGAUGAGAAAACUGAUAUGAUAGGUGCUAUUAUUAUACUUCCAACUUACGGAGGAAACUGAGGUUAGGAGAUAUGAAGUGACACGGUCCUGGAUGUUUUUGUCCUAAGACUUAUUUUUAGCAGUGAUGUGUUUUUGGCAUCACAGCUGGGAUCUGUGGCGUGCUAACUAUAUAACCCAGCACAGCGCUAAGCAAUUUGCAACUAAACGUUCUAGACUUACCCCACGCCCACAGAAGACAGGCGCUAGCCUUCUCCCUCGCUUAAUAGAUGGGGAAACUGAGGCAGAGUUUCACGUCAACCUGGGGUUCAAAUAUGAAUGUAUCAAACUAUAUUGUGCUUUGCCUUUCACUUUUAAAGAAGCUUCCUGGGUUCUCACAACCCAUGGGGUGGCCCGUCUAGCAGUCUCAUUUACAGAUGGGGAAAUUGAGUCCUGCGUAGGGUAGUUCCCUCAGUUGCCACGUGUCCAUCACACAGCAAUGUAGGAAGCCAGCUUUCUGGGAUAAUAACAAAGAUCCCCCUAGAAAUGCAGAGCAGCAGCCAGACUCCCCCACCCCUCAGGCUAUGCCCGUGUCCUGCCUGGAGUCCCAUUGAACUGGGUGGGAACUCCAGCCCCGCCCUUGCUGGCUGUUGGUCUUGCCAUUGAUCUCCAAGGGUCUGUGCCUCAGUUUCUUGUUUGUGAAAUGAGAGAUAUCAUAAUUCCUACCUUAUAGGGUAGUUUUGAGGGCAAAAUGAAUUCUUGCUUGUAAAGGAUUCAAAACACCCAUUAAGUGCUCAAUAAAUGUCCGCUGUACUCACCCGGAUUGAAGGGCUUCGGAGACCCUAAGGAGUGUAUCCGGCGGACGGGCUGUUUUUAGACUGGAUCUAGCCUACUUCCAGGAGUCAACCCACCCUGCCGGGAGAGGCGCUCGCGACGGACCUCCAGAGCCGGCCCAAGUAGGCCACCAGCCGCCUUAUCUAGGGCAGGAGCUGGCCCUGUUUCAGGCCUCUGAGCGGCUGCUUCGCCCGCGAUUCCCAGCAGCUCCGCUCUAUUUCUCCGCGGCCGCUCCCACCUCCUCCCUUUCCCUCCCCAUGUUGAAGGUAGGGGUGGGGAUUUACCUGGAAAUGUGAUCUGCAGCCAGCUGCUUCCCGCUCCCGCCAGCUGCCAGGGCUGCGAGGACUUCAGGUCACCAUGACUUCACACCUACUAUGUGCCAGGCAUGUGCUCAGUGCUAUUUCCGUCACAUAUCUCCUUUUACCCGCGCAGAAACUCUGUAAGGUAUAUACAAUUACUAUGCACAUCUUACAGCAGAGGAAGGCCACGUGACUUACCCAAGGUCACAUAAAUGAUGGAAUCAAAGUCCAGAGCCCUGACCUUGAUUUACUGCACCUUGUGGCAGCCACUGUUUGACUGUGUGCAACCUUGAGAGGAGUUUCUUCUCUCCUCUCUGGACGUCGGAUUCCCCUGCCAUGAAGUGGAGAGUAGGAGCCAAACCCCAGCGCUUCUCCUCAGCCAGGUGGGGCAGCAGUUCUCAAAGCUCCUGUGUGAUUCCUGAUACAGCCAGGGCUGAGAAUUCCAGGGGAGAAGAUCUCAAAAGGCCCCUCCAUCUCUGAAGCUCUAUAAGUCCAUGAUGGGCUCAUGGUGGAAUUUCUGACAGCAGCAGGCUCCAAGGCAGCUGUCCAGCUGGAGAGCUCAGAGCCUUCUAAGUGCCUGUCAUGGCCCUCCAGGCAGGUGAAUGCCCCGAUCUGUUAACUUUGCAACAAGCUCACGAAGAGGAGCCGAUGGCCUGUGUUACAGAUGCGGAUUCUGAGGCUGGAGUCACUGGCCUUGCUGAAGGUCACACAGAGCCCCUGAGUGGGUGGAGCCAAGAUUUGAACCCCGGUCCGUCUGUUUGCCAUAGAGGGUUUCUGACUUAGCUGCAGUCCUUACCAAACAGGAAAUAGUGAUUGGAGAUGAGGGUGGUCCCCACCAUCCCCGCCUCGAAGUUUGUCUCUGUCCUCUGGUCAGCUGGGCUUGGUUCUCCCAGGCUCUGAGUGGCAGGGAGAUUUCCAGGGGAUUAAACCCAGCCAGCCCCACCUCCCCUCCGACCUGGAAAGGCCAACAGCCCCCGCACACCCCCUCCUGCAACCCCCCCACCAACCAGGUCCUCCUAAGCCUUCCUGGCAGAUCUCCUUUUGUACAAAAAGUUAUUGACUUAUCAAGGUUAAAAUACAUUCAGCGCAGGCCAAUAAAACAGGGAUACCUCUGCAUCCCGGCUGCCACGUGCAGCCUGGUUUUCAUGGCAACAGGCCCUCUUCUGAACAUUAAAUGGUUCAGUUGUGCAAAGUUCAGGCGUUACAUAAACAGAGAGUUAGCAGCAGUAGAAAUCAAUGUCUGGCCAGGCAUGGCCCGGGGAGAUACCAUUGAUCGGGCCCUUUGUCAUCGAUAGGCUGGGUCCCAGCUUCUUGCCCAGCUGUGCUGGGCUCCCUACCGUAGUCCCAGACCUAGGUUCAGACCCAGGGAGCUCCAGGAAGCUACUCCCCACCUUGUCCCUGGCUGGGAUCCAGGAGUUAGGGGAUCUGCUAAACUGCCUGCAGUCAUUCUGUCAACCAUUAUCGCUCAGAGUUGUCACUCCAUGGCCUUAAAAUAUGUUCUCGCCAUUGUUAAUGGAGCGGAUUUCUCAUUGCCUUUGAAACCAUCUUUGCAACAAGGAACAAUCCUGCUGUCUUUAUGUUCAGCAUAAAAACCAGCGAUACAUCAAGAUGUGCCCCAGGUCGAAUAGGCUGGAAUAUGAAACCAAACUGACUGUGUGACCUCGGGUGAGUUGCUUCACCUCUCUGAUCCUCAGCUUCCUAUUCUCUAAAAGACACGAAUGACAGUAUCAACCUCGUGGGGCUGCAAGGGAGGAGAAGAUGAAGAAAUGCAUAUGGAGUCCCUAGCUUGGGCCUGACUCGGAAUGGCUUUUGUCAGGAAACUAACUCUCUGUGUGUCUUCACUCUGGUUCCAGCAGACAGCCCGAUGAUGCAGAAAAAACCAGGGAACUAGGAAGUGAUAUUUGGGUUUAAAUCCAGCUCCAUCACUAGCUGUGUGACCUUAGGCAAGUCACUUCACCAUUCUGAGCCUUAGCAUCCAUUCCCUGACAUGUGUGUGUGUAUAUAUAUAUAGACAGAUAGAUAGAUAGACAGAUAUAGAUAUAGAUAGGUAGAUAGUUGUUGUUGCUUGUUAUUUUUUAUCCCAACAUUCUCUCACAUAAAAUGGUGGAAGCAUUCUUGCAAGAGUGAAGGGAAAGAUACAAUGAGUUCAACCCCACGAAUAUGCUGGGCACAUGGAAAGUGCCCAGUAAAGAUUUACUGAAUGAAAUCCUUCCUCCGGUGUUCCAAUGUCAGAUCUACCCGCCCCUGCAAAAUGGAAAGUCUCAUGGGCUUUCUCUCAGGAAAGGGACAGCUAAGAGGAAAUAAUUGUCGGUUUCACUUAUUGGAAGGCUCUUCAAGUCAGGGACCUGGUCUUUUUCAUCUGCGUAUUAAUGAACUAUGUAUCUAUGUAGGAUACAUACAUGCAUAUGAUCAUCUAUGUAUGGACUGUGAGCAAGUGUGAUAUAUAACACUCAGUGAAGGUUAACCUUUGUUGUCAGUGCUACAAUGGACACUGAGCCUGCAAGAGCAAUAACAACACCAACAAUAGCAAUAAUAAUCACAUCAAUGUUGACCGAGUGCUAGAUGAGGACUUGGAGACCAUCUAAACUGGUCUGGUGCCUGGUGCCAACUCUGAACCAUCAGGAGGGAAUGUCUGGAGCACUGGCUUGGGUUGGUUUUGCUAUCCCAUCUGGGCUCAGUGAGAAUGGUGCUGCAACCGAUUAGCAAUGCCUGCCGUGGGCAAGGAAGGGGAGAGUUAGGGAAGUCAUGCAAUUGAUUAGCAUUUCCUGAUGCUGGUCCAAGCCCCCUCCUUGUACAGAUGGGGAAACUGAAGCUCAGAGAAGGACUAAGACUUGCUCAAGGCCACAUAGCCCAUCAGAAACAAGGCUCCUGAGCCCUCCUCUGCAAUUCCUUGCUGGGCCCUGGUCUAUGUCAGUUAAUCCAGUGGAGAAGAGUCAUUAUUUCUCCAUUACAUUUCCCAGUCUGUUUUCUGGAAGGAAGUUAAUUGAUUUAAAGUUUUUCAGGAUGAUUCUCCCUUCUGCCUUCCCUGGGCCCCUGAUUCUAUUAUCGCUCUGCCUCAUGGAAGUAAGGAGGUGGGCAUCUGGGAAAACAAAUCCUCCAGGCCUGUCCUCCACAUGGGCAUGGAAUGGAGAAUGUGGCCUUGCCUGAGGCUGGGUCUUCCAGAGACCUCCAUGUAUAAUAACAAUAACUACCAGGACCCAAGUGUAUGGAGUUGGGUUACCACAGCCCAGAGGGUUUGCUGGCUCUUCCCUACUUUCCUCAAGUUGCAGAAGGGGAAACUGAGCCACAGGGAGAGUUCCAGAGGUGGCAUGCAAACCCAAGACUGGCUGGUUCCAACUUUCUCAUGCUUUCAUUUAUUUUUAAAUUUUAUUUCAUAGAGACAGGGUCUCCCUAUGUUGCCUAGGCUGGUCUCAAACUCCCGGGUUCAGGCAAUUCUCCUACCUUGGCCUCCCAAAGUCCUGGGAUUACAGGUGUGUCACUGCACCCAGCCCAAAUUCCUAAUUCUUUUUUUUUGAGACGGAGUUUCACUCUUGUUACCCAGGCUGGAGUGCAAUGGCGCGAUCUCAGCUCACCGCAACCUCCGCCUCCUGGGUUCAGGCAAUUCUCCUGCCUCAGCCUCCUGAGUAGCUGGGAUUACAGGCACGCGCCACCGUGCCCAGCUAACUUUUUUGUAUUUUUAGUAGAGACGGGGUUUCACCAUGUUGACCAGGAUGGUCUUGAUCUCUUGACCUCGUGAUCCACCCACCUCGGCCUCCCAAAGUGCUGGGAUUACAGGCGUGAGCCACCGUGCCUGGCCUAAUUCUUUCCCAUUCAUAAUCACUGCCUCCUUGGCUCUGUCAAAAUCACUCCAAAUGCUCUGUUCACAUUCUCACCCCAGGCCUGCAAAGUUGGCUGAGUAGUGAUCUUUGACACUGUUUGACGAUGAAGAAACUGGAGUCCGGAGGCGGGGAGUGAGAGAUCCUGAGUCACACUGCAGUGGAGCCAAGGCCCUGUCCUUUGCCACUGUGAGGAAGAAGGGCAAGAGGGGCUUGGAGUAGGGCUGGCCACAGCAGCUCUCGCAGUCUAUUCAUCUUCUGAGCUGAAAUAUUUAUUUACGCACCCCAUUUAAUCAGGAUAUGCCGUAAUUAGCAGCAGAUUUGUGCCUCCUGCCCACGGAGUUAUUUAUUUCGGGUUCCAGGCAGCCACUUUCCUGGCUGAGUGUGUGCUGGGCCUGGAUUUCAAUCAGAUGGGGCUACGGCAGAGCCGUCCCUUGGGACCUUAUGGCAGCAGUGCCCCCUUCUGAAUGAUAAAUGAGCCCACAGACAGCAGAAAUGCUGUCCA
Non-coding RNA from Callithrix jacchus (white-tufted-ear marmoset), 5886 nucleotides. Lineage: Eukaryota; Metazoa; Chordata; Mammalia; Primates; Cebidae. The record is from RefSeq and is a predicted model, not a curated record.